CAGAAUGUUAAAACUUAAUAGGAUGAUUGCACAUGCAGAGUUUAUGACCUCUAUUUAUUUUGGGGGUCACUGGACCUGAACAUGAGAAACAAUUUCCAUUUCAUAAGUUAAGAACCACAAGGCCCAGAAUUUUGAAACUUAGUCGGAUGAUUGGACAUGCCAAGUAGAUGAUCCCUUUUGCAGCCAACCAUCAUUGUCUCUUUGACUUUUGCUCCUGUCCCCUAUUGACUUCUUGCCUAUACGACUAUGCAUUUGGGGAGACAUGCAUUUUUCUUCAAAAUCAUCUUCUAGUUCACCUUUGCCAAACUUGCAGCUCCUGAAGUCCGUAUUUACCUUGUUCCUGUGGGCAUGUCAUUGUAUUAGAUUUUGUUAUCGUUAAACUACAUAAGCUUUUUGUAUUUAAUUAAAUUGAAUUAUCGUUAUCGUUAAACUACAAAAUCUUUUUAUAAUUUUGGACUUGAAUUAUCGUUAUUGUUAAACUACAUAAGUUUUUUUUUGUAUUUGGAUUUAAAUAAUUGUUACGUAUGCUUUAAACUAUAUUGUAUUAUCAAGGGGUGCGGUAUUCCCAUAUACUGCUUAAGGGAUUACUUUCGUUGUUUCUGAACUUUAACAAAUAUUUUAGUAAAUUUUAUAAUUAGAUCUUGAAUUAAAAUAUGUAAAUGAAAUUUUGUUUUGCUUAUUUAUUUAAACAUGAGCUGUCAAAAGUAGGUUGUAUUUUGGUGGUUUCACAACGUUAACCAACAACGUUGUCACAACGUUGAUACGACUCCACAUAUUUACGUUGUCACAACGUUGUAUCUGACCGCAACACAACGUUAUGCCACAACGUUGUCGCAACGUUGACACGACUCCACACUUUUACGUUGUCACAACGUUGUUUCUAACGUUGUCACAACGUACAGCACAACUUUGUAACAACGUUGUCACAACGUUACUGUGCUUCCUGGGAUGGUACGUUGUUACUAGAUUUAUGUAAACAAACAGGUAUGCGCAUUUUCAAUGGUAGACUGGACAAAGACAAUGGUAUAGCUCUGUUGGCCAUUUUGUGCGGCGAAGCGGAACGUGCCAGCGAUAUGCACAACUAGGGUUGGUACUGAACUCUCCUGUGAAGUUUCGUCAAAAUCAAGCCAGCAGUUUGACCUGUGAAAGCCGGACAAUAUUCUUCCAUUUUUAGCUCUUGUGGCCAUUUUGUGCAGCGAAGUGGAACGUACCAGCAAUAUGCACACCUAGGCUUAGUAGUGAUCUCGUUGAAAUCCAGCCAGCAGUUUGACAUGCGAAAGCCGGACAAGAUUUUUCAAUCUUUAGCUCAGGCGGCCAUUUUGUGCAGCGAAUUCUGACUCCUGGUCAGAUUUUUAAGGAAAUUAUUUCCAUUACUCUGAAAGCCAUGUCAAUGUACGUAUUAUCAGGGGUGAACAUAAACUUUAUAAUGUAUUAAUGUGUGUCGUUGUUUGUCAGUUAAAAUAUGAGAGCAUU
Molecule: long non-coding RNA, 1473 nt
Organism: Mercenaria mercenaria
Lineage: Eukaryota; Metazoa; Mollusca; Bivalvia; Venerida; Veneridae
Exons: 2
Source: RefSeq, a predicted model, not a curated record